This is a long non-coding RNA of Dermochelys coriacea (leatherback sea turtle), 8767 nucleotides long. RefSeq lists it as uncharacterized. NCBI's taxonomy places the organism in Eukaryota, Metazoa, Chordata, Testudines, Dermochelyidae. The record is from RefSeq and is a predicted model, not a curated record. The transcript is spliced from 4 exons.
AUCCCGGUGCACAUAAACAAACUGCUCUGCAUGGCACCCUCUGCCUAACUCUAGGAGGGAAUGAAAAGUAGAUAGCAAUUGUACUUCUGUAUUGUACUAAUUGUACUUCCACUACUUCUUCUAGCACAAGUAAAAGAAUAAAUCAACAGAUGUGUCCUGCUACUUUGGCAGUUUCAUCACUGUAAUUUCCACAGCAAAUGGCACACUUACCAAAUGUUCCUUCCCCUGCAUCAGUCUUGUCUGUGCUUGACUGGCUGUACUGUAGUGGAGUCAAAAACAUGUCCUGGCUUAUUGCACAGCUGGAUCCCCCGGUCACCUAUCUCUCAUACUCCUCUUCCUCCUCCUCCUCCUCCUCCUCGUUGUUCAUGGCAGAAGCCUGUGACUCGGGCUCCUCAGAAGUAUCAAGGGUGCUUUUGGGGGUGCUGGUGGGGUCUUUGCCAAGGAUGGCUUGCAGCUCUUUAUAAAAGCAGCAGGUCUGCGGCUCAAUUGUUGGCCUCCCUGGCCUUCACGUAUGCCUGCCCGCAGCUCCUUGGCUUUCACAAGGCACUGUUGCUGGUCCGUCUUGUAGCCUUUCUCCUGCAUCCCCUGAGCAAUUUGCUCAUAGAUGUUGACAUUUGUACAGCUGGAUCAGUGGUCUGCCUGCACAGGGCAUUGUGUGACAGCUCCUGGAGGCCAAUAGCAGUUGAUGUAAUUAAUGCAGUGUCCUCACUAUAACUGUCUCAACCUAUCUUCAUUGACCACAACUCUACGCUGCUCAGGGAGGUGGUGUUAUUAAGUUGGCAUAGCAGGGCACUUGUGUUUAAGUGAAGACACAUCUAUAGGUGAGUUGACGUAAUCUUCCUUUCAUCGACCUAACCAUGUAGUAUAGACCAGGCCUCAGAGAACACAAAAAAAGAAGCCAUUCACUCGCCUCACUGGAGGAGGCCACAGCUUAUUCAUAUAUUACUCUUGAGAAAAAGCUUUCUAUUCAGUAUUUUUUUUGAAAUCCAAAGUUUUGUUUUAUGUGUAGCCUUUGUUUUAUGAAAAAUGAUUAACCAAAAUUUCUUUAGAAGUAUUUUUGUCAUCAACAUUUAGCCAUGAGACGUUCCAAUGAAAUCCAAAUUUUUUAAUCUCAUCCUCCAAUCUUGAAGAAAUAUAAGAGUUUGUCUCCAGAUACCUCCGUGUCUUCCCCAAACGCAUGUUAAUUCUAACAUUGCAAGCUUGGAGGCACUUUGCCUUUUAAUUAGUGUGCCUCAGUCUUCCUUAGCAAUAAUGUUGCAAUGACAUCAACCAGUAGGAAGUAGGAAGCUGGAUUUCAUGGUUACUUUUGGAAAGCAUGUCAAUUUUCAAAAACACAGUACAGUGGACCCUCAGAAUGGAGUGUUUGUAACUCUGAACAAAACGUUAUGGUUGUUCUUUCAAAAGUUUAUAACUGAAUGUUGAUUUAAUUCAUCUUUGAAACUUUACUAUGUGGAAGAAAAAUGCUGCUUCCUAUUUAUUUUUUUUAGUAGUUUACGUUUAACACAGUACAGUACUGUAUUUGCUUCUUCUUUCUUUUUUUUAUUUUGUCUCUGCUACUGCUUGAUUGGGUAUUUCCAGUUCCAACUGAGGUGUAUGGUUGACUGGUCAGUUUGUAACUCUGGUGUUCAUAACUCUGAGGUUCUAUUGUAGAUCUUUUUUACAUUCAAUGUAACUUCCAUCUUCAGUCAACCACAUACAUCACUAUGACUGGCUAGAUAUGGAAACCAGUGUAAAUUUAUUUGCACAGAACUUACAGUUUUGGGAAGUCACAAAUGUAUCUUUCUACUGUACAAACAGGACAAAAAAAUACAAGCAAUAAUAAGCAGAUCUAGCAUUUGUCUUUCACCUUUGUGAACCAGGUGAAUAAUCCAUGAACUGAAAAUUCCUUGAGUAGAGAAUCAAUUUGAUAGUCUGUUAUUUUAGGAGUGGAAGGCUGGGUAAGAGCUUUGGCUUGUACUCUCACUUACUCAAAUGCUUUGAUAGAAGCUAAAUUAAAAGUUGGAGGCUUAUAUUUCUUCAGGGUUUCCUACCUAUUCUUUAGGAUUCUGUACUGAUGAGACUGUUUCUUUCAGAGAUAAUAUUAAGGCUGAAACUUCCAACAGCAGGAUCUUCUGAAACCAUCUUACUGAUUGUUCAGAGGUCUGAGGGUAAUCAUCUGCAUUUCUUAUCUCUUAUUUUAUCUCCUUUGGAUUCCUGGGAUAAUUCAUUCCUUCUUUUUGCUUUUCAGACACAAAGAAUCAGGAGUUUGUCUGCUAUAACCGCUUUGGGUAAUGCAGACAGAGCUGAGGGAUUUGUGAGAUAGGAUGGGAACAAUUGCACCCAAACAGCUGCAUUGCCUGACACACACAUGCAAGUGCAAUUGGCUCAAUGAUGUUGUGCACAGACUGCAGAAAGAAAUACCAGCAUUUUAAGACUUGCAGAGGAUGUUUUAUAAACACCUAAAAGAGCAUGCAUCAUAAAGGAAAAUAGGAAUACAAUUCUUUUGCAAGAAUACAUCUGUAUUGACAACAGUUUACAAAUUAGACACCUCAAGUAAUAUUUCUAGACGCAUUAAUCUGAAUUACUCUGGACAAAAUAGUACACUAUGACAUUUACAGUUCAUCACGCUAAUAUAUAGCUAACUUUCUUUUUAGUAGAAUUGCACAAUGUAUAACACAUUCAUAGACAAAUUGAUAGGCUUGUUUUUUCAUAUUGCAAACUAUGAACAUGAAAUGCUUUCUAAUUUUAGUUUUCUUACUGCAGGCAAAUGAAGCAAACUGCUGGGAAGGUAAUGAGAAUACAUUACUUCAUUCAUUCUCCCCUCUUAUACUGGUUCCUCCCCCUGGAAUUUAAUGGGGUGGCACCGGUGUAACUGAGUGGAGAAUUUGGACUUCACUAUUUAAAACUGGAAUGAAAUUCAGGUUUCCUCAGUACUGGUAACAAGUCUUGAUCCUUUUUUUGCUGAGUCCAGCAGCAGAAACAUUAUUAGUAUUGAAGAAAACUUAUUGAUUUUUAUUAUAGUUCUAAACACAGAGGGCAAAAUUAUUCCCUCACACCAGUGAAAUCUCAUUAUAGACUAUGGGAUUUUAUUAGAGUAACUAAGAGAAGAAUUUGGUUCAGCUAUUGUUCCCAUAUAACAUUUGAGCUAGUGCAUAAGUUCUGUGAGUUUGGGACCUUAGGGAAAAUUCACCCCUGAACUGAAGCCAUUUUAUUCCAGCUGUGCUCAAAGUGGUGGAGGAUCCACCAGUUAAUUCCCUCCUGUGCAGACCGCACACUCCUCGCAGUGUAGAGCCAACUGUGCACUGAGACUGUGAAAACCCCAGUGCAUGGGCUAUUCUAGUAGAAAGGGCAGGCCAGAGGAUGGAAAGGACAGAGCAGGCAGAAAUAGGUAUGGCUGGAGUUGAUCACUGAUUUUCAGCUGAUGGAACCAUAUAUAGGGGCUAUAACAGCAGAAGUGCAAGUUAGGGAAGUCCCAGAGUAGUUGUAGCCUGUGCUUUGUUCCACAGCAGCAGCCAAUUACUGGAGGUGUAAUCCCCCCACCUUCUCUAGCACUAGUACAAUGGGGGUCUGCUUACAUCUGUCAAUUUGUAUUCAUAUUUGACAAAUUCAAAAGCCACCUCAAGCCAUGCACAAUAACUAGAUACAACUGUUGUUCAUCUGGUUUUGUCCAAUUAGAAUGCAGUGAGAAUUAGGUCACCGGAAAGAAAAGAGUGCAAUAUUCCUACUGAUUGAGGUUAUUUCUUAAAAACAAAAACUGAAAGAUGUGAGUGACUAAUUUUUGGAGACGGACUGGUGACUCAGGUACAAAAUUUCUAAAUACUAAUGCCAAUUUUGCAUUCUUGGAAAAGUGUGAAAUAAAUAAAAAUUAAAAAUGUGUUAAUGAUUUAUCUUGAAAACAAAUACUAAAUUUUGGUCCAUAUAAAUAAUUGCUUCUUUAUGAAUUAUGGCAUAUCUUCAAUAGUUAUUUAUUCUAAAAACAUUAAUCAGUUAUACAUACAUGAACCCAGGGCAAUUAUGUAUAUUUGAAUACAAAAUAUGUCUUUUAACCUGUUUUACAAUUUAAUACUCCUAGUGAAUUUAUAAUGAAAAGAAGAAUGGGGAAGAGAAUAAAAAUGUGAUUCUUGAAGUGAGAAUGUUCCAAAAAAAUAAAAGGUUGCACUACUGAGGAAGAACGGAUUUGAUUUGCUGGGACUAUUCCAUCUUUAACUUAACUGCAAUAUAUAUGCAGUAUGUAUCUUGUUCUCCAAUGCCAUCUGUUGAAACACCUAUGCUUCCCAAAGGUACUCCAAAUCCUCUUCACCAAACGGUAGCACUGAAUCUAGGGAGGAUUUGCCAAGACCCACAAAAAAAUUCAGGAAUGAGUUCCAGAUUCAUGGGCUGGUCACCAAGAAAGCUCUCUCUCCUCUGCGUGCACACAAAUUUCAUCCUUGAGGCUGCCAGUCCCACUGUUUCAGUGGGACAUAGUGAUUGUGGGAGGUCAUGUUCAUGCAGAUGAGUCAAUCCUGCAGCUACUUGAGCUUGGCCCAGGUUCUUCUUGAAGCAGCAGAAAUAGCUGGUGUCAUUCUCACCUGGAUUGCCAUACAUAUAACUCCUGUGUUGAGGGUUCACAGCAGCCGUCCUAUACCUCAUCUAUGGAGGUCCACAGAAGAUAGACUACAAAUCUCGGUGAAUUGGAGAGCUCAUACAAUGUACAUUCAUAGAUGGAGGAAAAGAGAACCCUUUCUCUCCUUGGCAAGAUGAGGGUCCCCCAGGAGUUAAGCACAACUGAAGUGUAUAGUGCACAGUCACAGAGGAAGAGGAGGCUGUGGGAAGGCAGAAAAAAAGCUGGAGCAGCAUUUUCCAGAAAUUUAAGUCAUCUGUAUCUCUAGAUGGCUUUUCCUCUGGUUAGAUUCUCAGUUUUAUGGAUCAUUAUGUUGGCUUCUACAUACCUAUGACUCACUUACAUGAUCCCUAUUUGGAUGUAUGUGUCACCCAGGAAAGUUCAAAUCUCCCUUGAGUACAGAAUCCUUGAUUUCUGGCUCCUUGAUAACUAGCCCUGGAACUGUCUGUCUUGUUCUCUCUACCCCCAUAGUGGAGGUUUUUUCACCCUUUUGAAGUUUCUCUUUUGUUUUCUAUAUACAUUAUUGAGAGCUUCUUCCUCAAAGUAUUUUCAGAGUGCCUUUUUAUUAGCAAACCUUAUUGGUUUUAUAAAUAGAUUGCCAAUUAGUACUACACUCCUUCCAGUUCUCCCCCUUCUAUGUCCAGUAUAGACUUUAUCAUUAAUGUGAACUUUCGAGUUGUGAGAAUCACCUCAACAGUUUCAGUUCUUGCCUCAUUUCUGCCGGCCUCUCAGAGCUCAAGAUAUGCAUAUCAUUUGGAACUCAGUUUAUACUACAAUAAUAUGCACUUAAGCAGCAGACUGUAAUAGCUAUAAAGGAUUUGUUGCAGUUUAUUGCGUAAACAACACAAAUAACACCCCCAGUAUUUACUGAGUCUUAAAUAUGUAUUUAUAUGAGCACAAAUACUGCAAAGAAUGUUUCUGUGGGAAUUAUUUCUCAGGGCUGACAAACUGGAAAAUACUGAGAAAGGAAGAGAAAAUCCUUUUUAUUUUUUGAAAGAAAAAAAACUUUAAUUUUUUUUUUAAAUUCUGAAGGGUCAUUGUAGUAUUAUUAGUUGAAUCGUUCAAUUUACUCAUGGCUAGUCAAUAAUGUUUAACUGUUCCACCUAAAUUUCCAAAGAUUUACACACAAUAGAGUCUCAAUAAGCCUAUAAAAGUCAAUGGGUGUUGUGUUUCUAAAUCCCAUGCAGCUAUUUGAAAGUUUAGGGGCUAAAAUUGAAGAUUGUUGAUAUUGUUAAUGGAUGAUCAUGGUGGGAUAGAUUAGAAUGUAUAGACCCAUCAAAAAUCUCCACAGAUUUAUAAGGGAACUGAAAAGCAAUGAAAUCAAUCAGGAUUGCAAGAUAAGGAAGCAUGUGUGUUUCUAUGCAUGUACACAGGCAUACUAUAUGUGGAGGUUAUAUCCAUGUGAUAAAUUGCACAGCCAUACAAUAAAUUGCAGAACCAUGUGAAAAUUAAUUUAUUAUGCACCACUAAGUGCCUCCUAUGCCAAUUAAUGCAUCUCCCCAGGACAUAUUCUACCAUUUCAACUAGCUUUGCCCAGCCAGCAAUUCAAAACAAAACAAAAACUAAAAACCCUACUAGAGGGCUUUUUCCUUCUUCCCCCAAAUGUCGAAUUCCUCCCAAAGGAUUUUCCUGUUAAAGGACUGGAUCAGCCAGAUUUAGACAAUGUUAAUAUAGUUGCAAAAAGCCAGGCAAGAAGAGGAAGGGCUGGGAGAGGGCUGUAGAUAGAAACUCUACAGUAAGAUGGAAAGAUAUAGAUUUAUUUUAGGGAUAACAGCAUUUCCCUUUUUCUAAUAAAGUUCCUUGUUCUGUGUUAGUAAUGAUUCUGUGAUUCUCUAGCACUAUUACGUGGCACCUCUUUCUUCACUUUCCCCUUAUUGCCCACUUAGACUAGAAGUCCAUUCUCCUCAAAUGGAAUCUCAUCUUGCUCACUCUUCCCAUUGCUGUGUCUAGUCUUGUACCCAUUUGUCUUGUCUCUCUUAGGUUCUGAUCCUACAAUUGGAUCUGUAGGAGAGUACCACAGAUUAUCACUAAAGUCAGUGGGGCUCCUCCACAUAGGUACAAGUGUUUGUGCAUGUGGAUUAUAUUUGCAGGACAUGACUAAUCUUGCAAGUGACUCUGCAUGGGGGCAAGUGUCUGCUCAUGAAGAAUCAUUUGCAGGACUGGGGCUCAAGUUGGUAAGUUCUGUCUUUGGUGAAAUUUUGGGGUUGUCAAUUAAAACAAGCAGUUGCCUGAAAAUGUAGAUAUUUUACUGUAGAUGGUGAUUAUUGGUUUAUGUACUGUAAAUUAUUAAUCAAUAGAUUUUAACUAAAAAAAAUUCACUGAUGGGGAGAACAAACAUAAAUUUACAAACCAGUAAGUAAGUCAAUGAAUGGACAUAAUAAAAAGGCAAGUAUAUUGCAUUAUUACAUAGCCUUUGUUAAUUUAUUUUGACAAUCAUAGUUCAGGUUUAAUUGUAUAUUAUAACACUUCCUAUAGGAGUAAAUAUUGCAUAGUAUGUUUUUGUAAAAAUAUAGAUGCCUUAGUAAUAUUAAACAUUUUCUGUGAGGAGAAGACAGACUGUGUGAGGGUUAUGAGGUAUGUGUAUUAGUGAGGUUCUGUUGCUAUAUUGAAUUGACUUUCCUAAGGAAACCUCGGUGUUUCACAAGGAAGCGAUCUGCCCUGCUGAGGCUUUCCAACAAUUUGUACAUGUCACUCUUUCAGGUUUCAGUAUUGAUUGUGGCUUCCCAUUGCUCAUCCUACAGACACCAUCCUGGACAACAGAGGACUGAAUUUGAGCUUCAUUACAUGAGGGAAAAUCAGGAUUAAUACUAAUUAAAUCGGAGCUGUUACACCAGUGUGGAAGCAGAAUCAAGCUCAAAGUAGCUUCACUGGCUUCUGAUUGCUUGUUAUUAUUGAAUACUCCAUAUCAUUUUAAAGUGGUACAAAGAUAAUUAUUUUGUAAAUACUCCCUGCUGCCUUGAUGUGCCAAGCAGUUUGGAUGCAUCCCAGAAUCUAGCUCCCUAAGCAUUAAGAUUCUAGCCAUGCCUUUCAAUUAGCCAAUGUGAGAUGCAAUGUGAAAGAAUGACCUAAAGUGAAGGAAACAAAAAAAAUCUAUUCAUACUGGAAACUUAAAGUACUGAGCAAUUCAUAUCUGUAGUGUAAAUAACUCUCUAUAUUCUUAGUUUCAUGAUUCUUUAUUUCUGAUAUAAAUCAUUUUCAACUAUAAAAUUGAGGGCAUGAUAAAUUAGAGUGGGAUGUAGGGAAUUUUGGGGCUAAAAUGAGGGACCACCCUCCAAACAGGGGCCAUUUCAGAGGUAUACUUUUAAUGGCACAAGUUUGCACAGCCUGGUUCUUACACUAAGAUUUUCAGGAACUUGGUAACAAAGGAACAUAAGGCAGGGCAGUAACCUAACCUCAAGGCUUCAAAACGUGAACUACAAUCUGUUGAGAGUGUUGUUUUUUUCAGAUUUAAGAUGUGAUUCUUUUACUUCUGCAGAAGUAAAGGUACUUUGCUUUUAAAAGCAGCUCCAUUGAUACUUGUGAUUAAACACAUAAGGGCAAACCACAAAAUAUAUUAUUGGAUACACUAAUGUCUUAAAAGGAUGCAUCCAUCUUAAACAAAGGUAGUAAGAUCUUUCUCAAAACAUUCUUUUUGAGUUUGGUAUAUGUUCUAUUAUAUGAUUUAUGAAAUAAGGACUCCAUCAUCCUUUUUCCGCCCCUUAUUGCUAAGAGGAAAUCUUUGUAAUAGCAGUUUUCUUCUGAAAUUAAGAUUUAUUGAAGAGAUAAUCAGGAAGAUUGCACUUGCAAUGUCUACUGGAUAUAUGAUCUAAGCAAUUCAUUUUUCAUUUUAAGUGAAACAAUUCUUUCUGUUGAUAAGAAAGUAUUUUUGUUUUAAAAUACAUUGCAUGAAGACCUUAUUUUAUUAACUUUAGGAUGGGAGGAAUAAGGUGAUUACCUAGAUUUAUAAAACAUCAGCAUUAACAAGGAUUCCCUGAUUUUUCUUACUUUGCUUCUAGAACUGUAAGGCAAAAAACUUUGCUCUGUUCAGUUCUUUUUUUUUUUGUUUAUUCAUCUUUUAGUAACUUUCAUCCUCAUGAAAAAGUUUUGAGAAAAAUAUAUGCUGUAUUGUUGUGAACUUGUCUACACAAUAUUCUACCCAUUGUAUUAAAUACUAAGCCUAGAUAUGCAACAGCAGCCCUGAAAAUGUCG